AUUGAACGCUGGCGGCAGGCCUAACACAUGCAAGUCGAGCGGUAGCACAGAGAGCUUGCUCUCGGGUGACGAGCGGCGGACGGGUGAGUAAUGUCUGGGAAACUGCCUGAUGGAGGGGGAUAACUACUGGAAACGGUAGCUAAUACCGCAUAACGUCGCAAGACCAAAGUGGGGGACCUUCGGGCCUCAUGCCAUCAGAUGUGCCCAGAUGGGAUUAGCUAGUAGGUGGGGUAACGGCUCACCUAGACGACGAUCCCUAGCUGGUCUGAGAGGAUGACCAGCCACACUGGAACUGAGACACGGUCCAGACUCCUACGGGAGGCAUCAGUGGGGAAUAUUGCACAAUGGGCGAAAGCCUGAUGCAGCCAUGCCGCGUGUGUGAAGAAGGCCUUCGGGUUGUAAAGCACUUUCAGCGGGGAGGAAGGCGGUGAGGUUAAUAACCUCAUCGAUUGACGUUACCCGCAGAAGAAGCACCGGCUAACUCCGUGCCAGCAGCCGCCGUAA
Molecule: ribosomal RNA, 504 nt
Filed under: uncultured bacterium
Lineage: Bacteria
Description: partial 16S ribosomal RNA
Rfam family: Bacterial small subunit ribosomal RNA
Source: RNAcentral